RNAcentral lists this unclassified non-coding RNA (343 nucleotides) under soil metagenome. Its description in RNAcentral is "partial contains 5.8S ribosomal RNA, internal transcribed spacer 2, and large subunit ribosomal RNA". The stretch from base 1 to 120 matches the Rfam family "5.8S ribosomal RNA", at positions 35 to 154 of the family's 154-position model. The record is from RNAcentral.
GAUGAAGAACGCAGCGAAAUGCGAUAAGUAAUGUGAAUUGCAGAAUCCAGUGAAUCAUCGAAUCUUUGAACGCACAUUGCGCCCGCCAGCAUUCUGGCGGGCAUGCCUGUUCGAGCGUCAUUUCAACCCUCGACCUCCCCUUGGGGAGGUCGGCGUUGGGGACCGGCAGCACACCGCCGGCCCUGAAAUGGAGUGGCGGCCCGUCCGCGGCGACCUCUGCGUAGUAAUACAGCUCGCACCGGAACCCCGACGCGGCCACGCCGUAAAACACCCAACUUCUGAACGUUGACCUCGAAUCAGGUAGGACUACCCGCUGAACUUAAGCAUAUCAAUAAGCGGAGGA